CGGGUUGUCACGCCAGUGGCAUUGCCCGGUAGCUAUGUUCGGACAGGAUAACCGCUGAAAGCAUCUAAGCGGGAAGCCCCUUCCAAGAUGAGAUCUCCCCGGGCCCUCGAGGCCCCUGAAGAGCCGUUCAAGACCAGGACGUUGAUAGGUCGGGUGUGUAAGCGCUGCGAGGCGUUGAGCUAACCGAUACUAAUUGCUCGUGCGGCUUGACUAUAUAACACCCAAG
RNAcentral lists this ribosomal RNA (226 nucleotides) under Marinobacter sp. 34-60-7. RNAcentral's name for it is "partial 23S ribosomal RNA". It matches the Rfam family "Bacterial large subunit ribosomal RNA", at positions 2717 to 2925 of the family's 2925-position model. The record is from RNAcentral. Lineage: Bacteria; Pseudomonadati; Pseudomonadota; Gammaproteobacteria; Pseudomonadales; Marinobacteraceae.